GUCUCCAUGCAUUAAAGUCAGCCCUGCUGUAUGCAAUUCAACAAUAUUUUCCUCCUUCGGAAGCAAGGACACUAAUUCCUGGAGCGUCAAAACAGGAGCAAUAAUAACAUCAAAGAGCACUCACUACAGAUCACCCCGUCAAAUAUGAUAAUAAUGAAAAAAAUUUAAAUAUAGCAAGAAUUACCAAAAUGACCCACGGAGACAUGAAGUGAAGCAAAAGGUGCUCUUGGAAACAAAAGAUGCUGAUUGACUUGCUGGAUCUAGGCUGCUGGAUCUACAAACCUUCAAUUUGUAGAAAAUCCACCCAAUGUUUUUGAAGUGCAAUAAAGUAAAGGGCAAUAAA
Molecule: long non-coding RNA, 343 nt
Organism: Hyaena hyaena (striped hyena)
Lineage: Eukaryota; Metazoa; Chordata; Mammalia; Carnivora; Hyaenidae
Exons: 2
Source: RefSeq, a predicted model, not a curated record